AGUGAACGCUGGCGGCGUGCUUAACACAUGCAAGUCGAACGAGAACGGAAUAUAGCUUGCUAUAUUUGUCAGCUAAGUGGCGCACGGGUGAGUAAUGUAGAGAUAACCUGCCCUUACGAAAGGAAUAACAGUUGGAAACGACUGCUAAUGCCCUAUAUGCCUUUAAUACAUAAGUCUGCAAGGGAAACGCUUUAGUGCUUAAGGAUGGGUCUGUAUGGUAUCAGUUUGUUGGUGAGGUAAGGGCUCACCAAGGCUAUGACGCCUAACUGGUUUGAGAGGAUGAUCAGUCACACUGGAACUGAGACACGGUCCAGACUCCUACGGGAGGCAGCAGUGGGGAAUAUUGCACAAUGGACGAAAGUCUGAUGCAGCAACGCCGCGUGGAGGAUGACACAUUUCGGUGCGUAAACUCCUUUUAUAUAGGAAGAUAAUGACGGUACUAUAUGAAUAAGCACCGGCUAACUCCGUGCCAGCCGCCGCAGUAA
This 485-nucleotide ribosomal RNA is filed under the name uncultured bacterium. RNAcentral describes it as "partial 16S ribosomal RNA". It matches the Rfam family "Bacterial small subunit ribosomal RNA", at positions 29 to 523 of the family's 1533-position model. The record is from RNAcentral.